CAAGUGCUUAUACAGACUAUCUUAAAUUUAAUUCUCAUGUCGUAUGACUCUACUUAUUAUUAUGUAUACAAGGGGAUGACUCUAGAAUGUUCAAAGCUCUACCCUUUGAUCUUUCAACUACAUGUAACUUAAGUCCAUGUCCUUACAAGUUACAAGUCCACGACUUUUGGCUCGUCAAGUUUAUGUAACCUACAUCUUGUAUUCACAUAAAUAGGGAUGAACAUUGAGCUUGUAUAACACACAAGAGAAAAAUAUUACAACUUCACUACUCUUAUAUGCUAUCUGAACUAGUAUAGUAUAUUUGUUCUAACAUGCUAUCAGCACCAUAGUGUUAAUAUAAAAGUACACAUUGUAUUUGUUAUUGCAUGGAAAGAAAGCUAUCGUAAGGUUGUGACUUGGAAGCUCGUGACACUGUUCCUCUUCUAUUACGUCUAAAUGGUCAUGACGCUCUCUUUGUUAGCAAUCCAAGGUUAGCAUGUUUGGUGCAAUGAAAUAUAUUAUAUUGGUGUCUCUAUGAAAGCACAUACAAUGAGCAUAUAUACAGUAAAGUUUUAAACU
Long non-coding RNA from Daucus carota subsp. sativus, 558 nucleotides. RefSeq lists it as uncharacterized. The record is from RefSeq and is a predicted model, not a curated record. The transcript is spliced from 2 exons. Lineage: Eukaryota; Viridiplantae; Streptophyta; Magnoliopsida; Apiales; Apiaceae.